GCCUAACACAUGCAAGUCGAGCGGCAGCACGGGAAGCUUGCUUCCUGGUGGCGAGCGGCGGACGGGUGAGUAAUGCAUAGGAAUCUGCCCGGUAGUGGGGGAUAACCUGGGGAAACCCAGGCUAAUACCGCAUACGUCCUACGGGAGAAAGCAGGGGCUCUUCGGACCUUGCGCUAUCGGAUGAGCCUAUGUCGGAUUAGCUGGUUGGUGAGGUAAUGGCUCACCAAGGCGACGAUCCGUAGCUGGUCUGAGAGGAUGAUCAGCCACAUCGGGACUGAGACACGGCCCGAACUCCUACGGGAGGCAGCAGUGGGGAAUAUUGGACAAUGGGCGCAAGCCUGAUCCAGCCAUGCCGCGUGUGUGAAGAAGGCCCUCGGGUUGUAAAGCACUUUCAGUGGGGAAGAAAGCCUUCCGGUUAAUACCCGGGAGGAAGGACAUCACCCGCAGAAGAAGCACCGGCUAACUCCGUGCCAGCAGCCGCGGUAAUACGGAGGGUGCGAGCGUUAAUCGGAAUUACUGGGCGUAAAGCGCGCGUAGGUGGCUUGAUAAGCCGGUUGUGAAAGCCCCGGGCUCAACCUGGGAACGGCAUCCGGAACUGUCAGGCUAGAGUGCAGGAGAGGAAGGUAGAAUUCCCGGUGUAGCGGUGAAAUGCGUAGAGAUCGGGAGGAAUACCAGUGGCGAAGGCGGCGUUCUGGACUGACACUGACACUGAGGUGCGAAAGCGUGGGUAGCAAACAGGAUUAGAUACCUGGUAGUCCACGCCGUAAACGAUGUCGACUAGCCGUUGGGUCCUUCGCGGACUUUGUGGCGCAGUUAACGCGAUAAGUCGACCGCCUGGGGAGUACGGCCGCAAGGUUAAAACUCAAAUGAAUUGACGGGGGCCCGCACAAGCGGUGGAGCAUGUGGUUUAAUUCGAUGCAACGCGAAGAACCUUACCUACCCUUGACAUCCUGCGAACCCUUCGGAGACGAAGGGGUGCCUUCGGGAACGCAGAGACAGGUGCUGCAUGGCUGUCGUCAGCUCGUGUUGUGAAAUGUUGGGUUGAGUCCCGUAACGAGCGCAACCCUUGUCCCUAUUUGCCAGCGAUUCGGUCGGGAACUCUAGGGAGACUGCCGGUGACAAACCGGAGGAAGGUGGGGACGACGUCAAGUCAUCAUGGCCCUUACGGGUAGGGCUACACACGUGCUACAAUGGUCAGUACAAAGGGUUGCGAACUUGCGAGAGUGAGCCAAUCCCAGAAAGCUGAUCUCAGUCCGGAUCGGAGUCUGCAACUCGACUCCGUGAAGUCGGAAUCGCUAGUAAUCGUGAAUCAGAAUGUCACGGUGAAUACGUUCCCGGGCCUUGUACACACCGCCCGUCACACCAUGGGAGUGGACUGCACCAGAAGUGGUUAGCCUAACCUUCGGGAGGGCGAUCACCACGGUGUGGUUCAUGACUGGGGUGAAGUCGUAACAAGGUAGCCGUAGGGGAACCUGCGGCUGGAUCACCUCCUU
Molecule: ribosomal RNA, 1493 nt
Filed under: uncultured Halomonas sp.
Lineage: Bacteria; Pseudomonadati; Pseudomonadota; Gammaproteobacteria; Oceanospirillales; Halomonadaceae
Description: bacterial SSU rRNA
Rfam family: Bacterial small subunit ribosomal RNA
Source: RNAcentral